AACACCCGUUCCCAUGCCGAACACGAUGGUUAAG
This 34-nucleotide ribosomal RNA is filed under the name Clostridium tetani. Lineage: Bacteria; Bacillati; Bacillota; Clostridia; Eubacteriales; Clostridiaceae. The record is from RNAcentral.